Molecule: ribosomal RNA, 1721 nt
Filed under: Recifella sp. AP-2010
Lineage: Eukaryota; Metazoa; Arthropoda; Arachnida; Trombidiformes; Unionicolidae
Description: SSU rRNA
Rfam family: Eukaryotic small subunit ribosomal RNA
Source: RNAcentral
GCCAUGCANNNNNCUGUACANACUGAAAUAAAGUGAAACCACGAAUGGCUCAUUAAAUCAGUUACAAUCUAUUGGAUAUUUUUUAUCUACAUGGAUAACUGUGGUAAUUCUAGAGCUAAUACGUGCAAAAUGCCUUGACUUUACGGAAUAGGUGCACUUUAUUAGACCAAGAUCAACGGGAUACUUCGGUACUCCUUGUGAAUGGUAACUCUGGAUAACUAAGCUGAUCGCAUGGCCCCUGUGCCGGCGAUUAGUCCACAGAGUAACUGCCUUAUCAACUAGAUGGUAGGUUAAACGCCUACCAUGGUUGUAACGGGUAACGGGGAAUCAGGGUUCGAUUCCGGAGAGGGAGCCUGAGAAACGGCUACCACAUCCAAGGAAGGCAGCAGGCACGCAAAUUACCCACUCUUAGCUCGAGGAGGUAGUGACGAUAAAUACCGGUACGGGACUCUUAGGAGGCCCCGUAAUCGGAAUGAGUACGAUCUAAAUCCUCUAACGAGGAUCUAUUGGAGGGCAAGUCUGGUGCCAGCAGCCGCGGUAAUUCCAGCUCCAAUAGCGUAUAUUAAAGUUGUUGCGGUUAAAAAGCUCGUAGUUGGAUCUCAGCUCAUGUCAAGUGGUCCACCGUUUGGUGGUUACUGCUUGACUGAGUUACUUACGGAUUAGUCUUUUGAUUCUCUUAACCGAGUGUCUUAAGCGAUCCGUUCAUUUACUUUGAACAAAUUAGAGUGCUUCAAGCAGGCAUUCUGCCCGGAUAAUCUUGCAUGGAAUAAUAGAAUAGGACUUCGGUUCUAUUCUGUUGGUCUUCGGAUCCGAAGUAAUGAUUAAGAGGGACAGACGGGGGCAUUAGUAUUGCGGCGCUAGAGGUGAAAUUCUUGGACCGUCGCAAGACUAACAACAGCGAAAGCAUUUGCCAAGAAUGUUUUCAUUAAUCAAGAACGAAAGUUAGAGGUUCGAAGGCGAUCAGAUACCGCCCUAGUUCUAACCAUAAACGAUGCUAACCAGCGAUCAGCCUGAGUACUUUCAAGGACUCGGCUGAGAACUUCUCGGGAAACCAAAGUUUUUGAGUUCCGGGGGAAGUAUGGUUGCAAAACUGAAACUUAAAGGAAUUGACGGAAGGGCACCACCAGGAGUGGAGCCUGCGGCUUAAUUUGACUCAACACGGGGAAACUCACCCGGCCCGGACACUACAAGGAUUGACAGAUUGAGAGCUCUUUCUUGAUGCAGUGGGUGGUGGUGCAUGGCCGUUCUUAGUUGGUGGAUCGAUUUGUCUGGUUAAUUCCGAUAACGAACGAGACUCUGACUUACUAAAUAGUACAACAUCUCCUUCGGGCGAUGUUGAACUUCUUAGAGGGACAGGCGGCGUUUCAGCCGCACGAGAAAGAGCAAUAACAGGUCUGUGAUGCCCUUAGAUGUCCGGGGCCGCACGCGCGCUACACUGAAGAGUGCAGCGUGCGUGAAUUUCCUGCUUCGAAAGAAGUGGGAAACCAUUGGAAAUCUCUUCGUACUUGGGAUAGGGCAUUGUAACUAUACCCUUGAACGAGGAAUUCCCAGUAAGCGUGAGUCAUCACCUAGCGUUGAUUACGUCCCUGCCCUUUGUACACACCGCCCGUCGCUACUACCGAUUGAAUGAUUUAGUGAGGUCUUCAGAUUAGGUAGUGCAGAUCUUUUCGAGAUUAGCACUACUUGAGAAGAUGACCAAACUUGAUCAUUUAGAGGAAGUA